CCCAGACUCCUACGGGAGGCAGCAGUGGGGAAUAUUGCACAAUGGGGGGAACCCUGAUGCAGCGACGCCGCGUGGGUGAAGGAGUACUUCGGUACGUAAAGCCCUAUCAGCAGGAAAGAAAAUGACGGUACCUGACUAAGAAGCCCCGGCUAACUACGUGCCAGCAGCCGCGGUAAUACGUAGGGGGCAAGCGUUAUCCGGAUUUACUGGGUGUAAAGGGAGCGUAGACGGCAGUGCAAGUCCGGAGUGAAAGCCCGGGGCUCAACCCUGGGACUGCUCUGGAAACUGUAAAGCUGGAGUGCGGGAGGGGCAGGCGGAAUUCCUGGUGUAGCGGUGAAAUGCGUAGAUAUCAGGAGGAACACCGGCGGCGAAGGCGGCCUGCUGGACCGUAACUGACGUUGAGGCUCGAAAGCGUGGGGAGCAAACAGGAUUAGAUACCCGCGUAAA
This 447-nucleotide ribosomal RNA is filed under the name uncultured bacterium. RNAcentral describes it as "partial 16S ribosomal RNA". It matches the Rfam family "Bacterial small subunit ribosomal RNA", at positions 330 to 794 of the family's 1533-position model. The record is from RNAcentral.